GUGGGGAAUCUUCCGCAAUGGACGAAAGUCUGACGGAGCAACGCCGCGUGAGUGAAGAAGGUUUUCGGAUCGUAAAGCUCUUUCGUCAGGGACGAACGUAUUUCUUGUAAAUAAUGAGAGAUAGUGACGGUACCUGAAUAAGAAGCCACGGCUAACUACGUGCCAGCAGCCGCGGUAAUACGUAGGUGGCAAGCGUUGUCCGGAAUUAUUGGGCGUAAAGCGCGCGCAGGCGGGAUAUCAAGUCUGUCGUAAAAGUGCGAGGCUCAACCUCGUGAGGGGACAGAAACUGGUAUUCUUGAGUGUCGGAGAGGAAAGUGGAAUUCCAAGUGUAGCGGUGAAAUGCGUAGAGAUUUGGAAGAACACCAGUGGCGAAGGCGACUUUCUGGACUGUAACUGACGCUGAGGCUCGAAAGCCAGGGGAGCGAACGGGAUUAGAUACCCCAGUAGUCC
RNAcentral lists this ribosomal RNA (450 nucleotides) under uncultured bacterium. RNAcentral's name for it is "partial 16S ribosomal RNA". It matches the Rfam family "Bacterial small subunit ribosomal RNA", at positions 354 to 796 of the family's 1533-position model. The record is from RNAcentral.